GUUUGACCUCUUCGAUUUUUCCACCCGUUCUUCUCCAGGUUGAUGUGCUGAUGCACCGGUGCGCGGCGUAGAGCUACGUGUGUUGUAGUACGCGGCGAAGUGUGCUUCUAUCGCUGAUUGAGUGACGGGAGCGUAAGGUGCGUCGACCGACUCGAAUCGCGGCGGUGGUAGAAGUGGACGAGGGUCGGUCGUUGAGGUGGCAGAUGACAGCUAGUGUUCAUCUACCUGCAGUUUCCGUUAGGAUAGGGAAGGUGGGAAGGAGUUACAAACAUCUGUGUACCUGUCUGUCAGCUGUUUGUGUGUGUACCCACGAAGUUCCUUGACCCUAUGCCUAUGGCCCCAACA
Molecule: non-coding RNA, 345 nt
Organism: Plutella xylostella (diamondback moth)
Lineage: Eukaryota; Metazoa; Arthropoda; Insecta; Lepidoptera; Plutellidae
Source: RefSeq, a predicted model, not a curated record